AUUGACUGACCCCGGCUCGUUAAGACGUCGACAAGGCGCCACAUUAAAAGGAACGGCAGAUCAAAACACUUGUGGAACAAAAGAAGGAGAACAGAUUUUGCAACAUUGGUUAUUCAUGUAACAGGACCGGAUCGGGGAAGUUGUUGCUUAAGACAAGCUCGCGGAAAAACAUGCUAAUACUCGCAUUUUGCUACACGAAUGGGCCUGUUUGAUUUUAAAAUGUUUAUUAGUACUCCGAUUCUACCAGAACGGAAGACAGGCUGGUUCAAAGUCAACAAAAGCCGGGUACGGAUCGACGCCCUCAUAUUCUGCCCAGGUGUGAUAACUGAUGGAGCGUUUUUUUUUCUUUUCUUCUACUCCCACCUGCAUACGUCGCUACAAACACGGCCCACAGAAAUAACAACCGCUAGAAACUUAAACCCAGUAAGUCAUGAAGAACCACUUCUCGGACAACUCGUCUUUGUGACAGUGAGCCCGUAUCGGUUGAGGUAUACAACUCUGUCUUCUGAACAUCUCACCCAGAAAGCAUCAAAGGGACGGAGUUAAGUUACCGUGAAGUAAGCGGAGCCAUUUAAAUCAGAAAGAGCCGAGUAUCUGAGGCCAACGUUUCGGUGUCACCAUUCUCUGAGAACGCUGCCAGUGUCACUUCUCUUCGUGGUUUUAUUCUGCAGGUCGGAGUGAGGACAACACGGCCAGCAUCAGACCCCAAAACAAGGUCAAGCGGCUCCUAUCCAUUCGAGCCCUCAUUCCGGGGACGUAAAUCCUCCGCCGAAAACCUGCAAAUAAAUACGCCCGUCGAGUUGGAGGGUGAGGGGGGGGGGGGCGUCCGUGGAAAACCCACUCCGGGUUAUUUCUGGGCGACUCGUGAAGGGGAGAAAUGAAAGCCUUUAGAAAAUCUUCAGCCAGCGCCUUUUAGCCGUUAGCUGGCUAAUGGAGCUAAUGGGCUAGCAGCCACGCGCUUGCUCGCAGAAUCCCGCUCGAAAUUCUGUGGUUCAAUACUCGCCCCGGUGUAAAUCCGUUAGGGAGCCGCUUAAACGCCGGUGAAAGGUACGGCGCGUAGGUGAGGGGGGCGGAACGGAGACGGUUAAACGGGGAGCGGCGGGGAUUCCUCUGUAAGCCGCAUCUUCACGCUCCAUGUCGUGGUGGUGUGUGUGUGUGUGGGGGGGGGCAAACGCAUAAAGUCCCGUUAUUGGUGAAGGUGGUAUGAUCAGGAAUCAAAUCUUCCCUAGAAAACUUGGAUUACAUGUCCCCAAAAAACACAAUUCUGUGGCGUGAAAAAAGCCAAUUUUCUUUUAUAUCUCUAAAAAAAAAAAUCAUCCGAAUAUCCCGUGUUUUUCUCUUUUUUAGGAGACCGCAGUCUCCCUCUCCUCCUUCUUCCUC
This is a long non-coding RNA of Syngnathus typhle (broad-nosed pipefish), 1380 nucleotides long. RefSeq lists it as uncharacterized. Lineage: Eukaryota; Metazoa; Chordata; Actinopteri; Syngnathiformes; Syngnathidae. The transcript has 3 exons. The record is from RefSeq and is a predicted model, not a curated record.